This 390-nucleotide long non-coding RNA is filed under the name Vigna radiata. RNAcentral's name for it is "long non-coding RNA (VRAD_LNC003453)". The record is from RNAcentral. Lineage: Eukaryota; Viridiplantae; Streptophyta; Magnoliopsida; Fabales; Fabaceae.
CCAUGAAGAGCUUUUAGAGUGACAAAAAGAAUAAAAAAGAAUAGUGUAGGUUUCAUGGGCUUGUAUUUUGAGAUAGAACUCUGUCUCUAAAGUCUCAAAUUUGGGCAGACCUUAUAUUGCUCAAGCAAGUGGCGGUCCUCCUCUUGAUACUUAUCUUGGAAGCUUGUUCAAGUGGCGCAUCUUCAUUUCUUAAGUUUUCCUUUCUCUAAUCUUUUCCAUUUUAAUUUCUCUUCCAUUUCUUAUAUGCCAUUUAGGAUAUUCAUUCUAGGCAUGCACUUCCCCAUCAUGUGGUAUCAUGAGCCUUAGGUUUUUUAUCUCUUAGGAAUUGCAUGCUAGAGUAGAAUAGCUUAGAUAUGGUCAUUUUCGCUGAGCCAUUUUCUGUCUCGCCCA